Molecule: transfer RNA, 72 nt
Filed under: Cymatogaster aggregata (shiner perch)
Lineage: Eukaryota; Metazoa; Chordata; Actinopteri; Embiotocidae
Description: tRNA-Val
Source: RNAcentral
CAGAGUAUAGCUAAGAUAGAAUAGCCCCUCCCUUACACUGAGAAGUCACCCAUGCAAAUCGGGUUACCCUGA